CGUAGUUGAAGUUCUGAUUGUUCGGGCCUCGCGCUUUAUAGCCGAGGAACCGACAGUCAUCCGCUUGCAAAUAUAUGUUCGCCUUUAACCGGGUGGCUAUAUGAGUAAGCAAUUUACCUUGAGAAAAACAGAGUGUUCCAGGCAGGUUUGUCCGGAAUGCAUUAGCAUGGAAUAAUAGAAUAUGACUGAAGUCGAUUUAUUGGUUUAAGGCUUUAGUAAUGAUUAAUAGGAACAGUCGGGGGCAUUGGUACUUGACAGUCAGAGGUGAAAUUCUAGGAUUUGUCAAAGACUAACAAAUGCGAAAGCAUUUGCCAAGGAUGUUUUCAUUAAUCAAGAACGAAAGUUAGGGGAUCAAAGACGAUCAGAUACCGUCCUAGUCUUAACUAUAAACUAUACCGACUCGGAUUCAGAUGAAUCAAAAAGUUCAUUUGGGACCGUAGGAGAAAUC
Molecule: ribosomal RNA, 448 nt
Filed under: uncultured eukaryote
Lineage: Eukaryota
Description: SSU rRNA
Rfam family: Eukaryotic small subunit ribosomal RNA
Source: RNAcentral